This 822-nucleotide ribosomal RNA is filed under the name Triticum aestivum (bread wheat). RNAcentral's name for it is "partial small subunit ribosomal RNA". Lineage: Eukaryota; Viridiplantae; Streptophyta; Magnoliopsida; Poales; Poaceae. The record is from RNAcentral.
AUGGGAACUCCUGAGGCGCCGGCGGCAUUGGCUACCGCUGGUACCGGACAUGGAGUGCAUUCCUCCGUCAUGCCUGGUGCACCCUGGGCGUCCAAGGAGGGGCCUGUUGAAGCUCCUACAACGCCUCCUUCUGAGGUGAUGCUGCUGGGUGCGAAGGCCACGGCUGCUACUGGUGCAGCUGUUCCUUCUUUGGAUGCCCAGCUUCUGGCUCUAGGAGAGGUGCAGACCGGAGACACCAACCUUGCUGCACCUGCUGGACUGCUGCCGGGUGGUCCGGUGGUGGGUUCAGUGGUGGCGGCCCAUGGAGGACAGCGUCCUACCGUCGACGCAAAGGGCGUGGAGACAAUUCGGGGCCGUUGGAAGCGCGUCCACAGAGAGGAGCGCGAUGAGUAUGCAGUGGUGCAGUACGCCGGUGUCAAGCAUGUCGUGUUUGGCGUGCCCACUCCACCGAACAGUGGCAGCGAGCUCUCCAGCUGCAAGGCCGCGUUCGUCGGUAUCCUAGAGAACACGGUGCUGUCUAAGAGGCGGUGCCCAGAUGACCAGGACUUCAUCAUCAACAUGAAUAGCACUAGUUCUGAGAGUGUAGAUUUUUCUUCUUGUAAGAGAGCUUGUGUUGAGAGAGUUGAGGCUGUGGUAGGGGUAGAUGGGGUAGUCACUCAUGUUACUAAGGAAGUGGAUGGGGGGGAGGAAGUGUAUCAGGAAAAAAAGAGAGAAUCUGUAGGUGAGGGGAGAGCUGCUGGUGAGGCUGCUAAGGAAGCUACCAACCAUGGGGCUGUCGGUCAACUAACGGGCGUGGAUGUGAGCGCCCGUCAGGAGACAUGA